This 543-nucleotide long non-coding RNA is filed under the name Gallus gallus (chicken). Its description in RNAcentral is "long non-coding RNA NONGGAT008943". The record is from RNAcentral. Lineage: Eukaryota; Metazoa; Chordata; Aves; Galliformes; Phasianidae.
GGAAGGCAGUGAACAGACAGACCUGGAAGCAAAGGGCAGGAGGGAACAGAAGAGAGCUUCCCAAGCCAUCUGCAAGAUCUGCCCCAAUUAAGAAAAAGAUCUCCUGUUUGGCUGCAGAAGAGAUGACCCGGAGAAUCAAAUCCUGCAGUGUGCUAACCUGUGCCGCUCUGGGAAAUGUGGGAUAUCCCCUCACAUGUGGUGCAGCGCCAGUGAGGAUACAGCUGCCCUGAGGUCAGCCUGCUUCUGCUGUGAGGACACAGGAGUGAAAUGGAGGUGUGAAAUACCCACACUCUGGAUGGACUCUGAAGUGAGGAGUGCUCUGCGUACGUAGACUGGUGCUGGCAGCCUGGUGCUCUGCAGCACUGGGAUGCACGCUAGCUGUUCAGCCAUUCAGCUCUCGCUUGGAUGCAGCCUCUGUCUGGACAUAUCCAGUGUCAGCUCUGAGACCUCAGCUGAAUGGUGUUCUGCUCCUCCUGCCUUAGCUCAACAUCACAAGGCAGCGCUUCCAAAGUCAUUCGUUGUUUGAGCUGUGCUGUGUGACAG